GAAUUCGAUUAACGCGAAGAACCUUACCUACCCUUGACAUGUGCGGAAUGGGGUAGAGAUACCUCGGUGCCCGAAAGGGAACCGCAACACAGGUGCUGCAUGGCUGUCGUCAGCUCGUGUCGUGAGAUGUUGGGUUAAGUCCCGCAACGAGCGCAACCCUUGCCAUUAGCUGCCACAUUCAGUUGGGCACUCUAAUGGGACUGCCGGUGACAAACCGGAGGAAGGUGGGGAUGACGUCAAGUCCUCAUGGCCCUUAUGGGUAGGGCUUCACACGUAAUACAAUGGCCGGUACAGAGGGCUGCCAACCCGCGAGGGGGAGCAAAUCCCAGAAAGCCGGUCGUAGUCCGGAUUGUUCUCUGCAACUCGAGAGCAUGAAGUCGGAAUCGCUAGUAAUCGCGGAUCAGCAUGUCGCGGUGAAUACGUUCCCGGGCCUUGUCACACCGAAUCACUA
Molecule: ribosomal RNA, 451 nt
Filed under: uncultured soil bacterium
Lineage: Bacteria
Description: bacterial SSU rRNA
Rfam family: Bacterial small subunit ribosomal RNA
Source: RNAcentral